GGGCGGGUGGCGGAACUGGUAGACGCGCGGGACUCAAAAUCCCGUGUCCGCAAGGAUAUGAGGGUUCGAGUCCCUCCCCGCCCACCA
Molecule: transfer RNA, 87 nt
Filed under: Candidatus Saccharimonadota bacterium
Lineage: Bacteria; Candidatus Saccharimonadota
Description: tRNA-Leu
Rfam family: tRNA
About the family: Transfer RNA (tRNA) molecules are approximately 80 nucleotides in length.
Source: RNAcentral